GGUUAGGGUGUAGGUUAGGACUAGGAGUGUUUGUUUUCAUCGUGUAGACGGAUGUUAAUUUCAUAUCAGUCAGAGCAACAUCAAGCAAAAACUACACAGCGUUUCACACCAUUUCACUUUCCUCAGCGCUGUGAUGUACUGUAUAAUUGAUUAUGAUGAUUACAAUUGCACAAAAACACCACUAAUCUUUUUUUACGACUUGUCUGAAGUGUUUAUGACGCAGAGUGAAGACUGAUGACCUGUACAGUAGAUCGUUGCUCGCCAAACAUUUCAAGGACUGCAACCAUGUAUAGCUGGUCCUAACAUGAACAGCAGUUCUGGACAUAAAGCUUUCCCAUUGCUUAAAAAUUCUGUGUUGUUUCAGCUGAAACCUAAAGGUUUUUAUUGUUUAAAUGGCCAUGUUUUACAGCAUUAAAAUCUCGUUGGAAACAAAGAACAGAUUCUCAAAGGCCAGUAAUUAUUUAAAGACACUCAAACACUCACACAUAAUGAUUAAUAAACGGACAAUCCUCUGUGCUACCAUAUUCAGAAUGCAUGACAGAUACACCCAAACACACAUUGUUUGUGCCAAGUCUGCGCUAUUAGACUGCAGCUCUGACUACUGGACUAAGACACAUCCUUAAUUUCUCUUUGCUACAUGCAGAUAAAGCCUUUUUGAUUCCCCACACAACAACACAACACUGGAUGGAUAGCAGGUGCACUGUAAAGAUGCAAAUGCAUAAAGAUAUGUCAUGUGUCAUGUACAUGUGUCGCAUCGACUAACAGGGUGAUUAUUACUGGAUGCGGUGCAUUAGAAUGCUAGAAAAGUAUGUGUGCAGAUUCAAAGAGAUGUGAUAGAGAUUAAAUAUAAGGAUAUAUAUAUAUAUAUUUCUGAUGCAUGUAUUAAUAAUUAUAAUGUAAAAGAUGAUCACAAAUUGUGGUUGGGGUGUAACAUCACCCUGAAAAGGUUAAAAAAUGGCUUUUAAAAAUCUGAAAGAUAAUUACUGUAGUGGACAUCAUGCAUCAGAGGGUUGCUAUGAAUACAAACUACAUACUUUAACUACUAAAUAGUGAUAUAGACAAAAAGCUAUCUAUUUAAACCAUUUAUUAAAAGUACUAUGUGAUGACAAUAAAAAAAUGUAAAUAAAUAAAUAAGAGUGCAUCCAUGUAGCCUGCUGAAAUGCUAGUGGUCUUCAUUCUCAGGCAGGUGCAUCUUGAGCCAGACUGGAAUGCUGAUGGAUGGUUGAUGGAUGGUUGGAUGAGAGGGUGGAGGAGAUUUUUUAAGGGCCCAUGUCCCUGGUGCUCUGGUGGAGCACAGGCCAUAACAAUUCAGGCUAAUAGAUGAAGACACUCAACAAAACAGAUCUGAACAAAACACAACCCUCCCUACACAAAACUCUCCUAGAACAGAAGACAAAUAGAUGAGCGGGUUACCAUAAGCUGCCGGAUUCAGUCUGUAACCAGACCAGAUGGUGGAUGACCACAACAGCCCUGAAUUUCAACAGAGACCAUGACAACUAGACAAGCUUUAUGACAGAUCACCUGCGAAAACCUUAUAGACUA
Molecule: long non-coding RNA, 1542 nt
Organism: Labeo rohita (rohu)
Lineage: Eukaryota; Metazoa; Chordata; Actinopteri; Cypriniformes; Cyprinidae
Exons: 3
Source: RefSeq, a predicted model, not a curated record